GCCGGAGUGGCGGAACUGGCAGACGCGUUGGAUUCAAAAUCCAAUCCCUGCUAAAGGGGUAAGGGUUCGAUUCCCUUCUCCGGCA
RNAcentral lists this transfer RNA (85 nucleotides) under bacterium. RNAcentral describes it as "tRNA-Leu". It matches the Rfam family "tRNA". Rfam says of the family: Transfer RNA (tRNA) molecules are approximately 80 nucleotides in length. Their secondary structure includes four short double-helical elements and three loops (D, anti-codon, and T loops). The record is from RNAcentral.